This 567-nucleotide ribosomal RNA is filed under the name uncultured bacterium. Its description in RNAcentral is "partial 16S ribosomal RNA". It matches the Rfam family "Bacterial small subunit ribosomal RNA", at positions 355 to 912 of the family's 1533-position model. The record is from RNAcentral.
UGGGGAAUUUUGGACAAUGGGGGAAACCCUGAUCCAGCCAUCCCGCGUGUGCGAUGAAGGCCUUCGGGUUGUAAAGCACUUUUGGCAGGAAAGAAACGUCGCGGGUUAAUACCCCGCGAAACUGACGGUACCUGCAGAAUAAGCACCGGCUAACUACGUGCCAGCAGCCGCGGUAAUACGUAGGGUGCAAGCGUUAAUCGGAAUUACUGGGCGUAAAGCGUGCGCAGGCGGUUCGGAAAGAAAGAUGUGAAAUCCCAGAGCUUAACUUUGGAACUGCAUUUUUAACUACCGGGCUAGAGUGUGUCAGAGGGAGGUGGAAUUCCGCGUGUAGCAGUGAAAUGCGUAGAUAUGCGGAGGAACACCGAUGGCGAAGGCAGCCUCCUGGGAUAACACUGACGCUCAUGCACGAAAGCGUGGGGAGCAAACAGGAUUAGAUACCCUGGUAGUCCACGCCCUAAACGAUGUCAACUAGCUGUUGGGGGCCUUUCGGGCCUUGGUAGCGCAGGCUAACGCGUGAAGUUGACCGCCUGGGGAGUACGGUCGCAAGAUUAAAACUUAAAUGAAUUG